UACGUAGGGACCAAGCGUUGUCCGGAAUCAUUGGGCGUAAAGAGCGUGUAGGCGGCUUGUUAAGUCUUGCGUGAAAUCUCGGGGCUCAACCCCGAGCGGUCGUGAGAAACUGGCAGGCUAGAGUGCGGGAGAGGAGAGUGGAAUUCCUGGUGUAGCGGUGAAAUGCGCAGAUAUCAGGAAGAACCCCCGUGGCGAAGGCGGCUCUCUGGAACGCAACUGACGCUGAGACGCGAAAGCGUGGGGGAGCGAACGGG
Molecule: ribosomal RNA, 254 nt
Filed under: uncultured bacterium
Lineage: Bacteria
Description: partial 16S ribosomal RNA
Rfam family: Bacterial small subunit ribosomal RNA
Source: RNAcentral